AAAUACCAAAAUGACACAAACUAACACUUUGCAAAGAUUUAUUGGGUGAGGUUUUUGUUAAGCUUCUCUUGUAUAUAAGCGCAGCGUGCCUCUUUUCUUUGUGGUAAAGAAACCGACAUCAAGAUGUUCAAAUCGUUAGUUUUCGUUGCACUGUUUGCCUUUGCUUUGGCCGCGCCGGCUCCUGAACCAGAAGCCAAGCCGGAUGUAGCCUUGAUCAGCCCCGUUGUACCCAUCGUAACUUCACAUCACUCGGCGGUGGUACCUCUGGUGCCCUACAGCGUCCUACAUUCCCCGCACGUAGUUUAUCCAAACUAUUACGUAUAUUAAGAUGAUGCAACUCAUUGAAUGAUUCUACAUAAUUUCUAAGACCAAAUAUAAUUAAAUAAUACCCAAAACCACUUGAUCAUUGAACGUAAAUUUGUAAACUGUUUCUGUGAAGGUAAAUGUUACAUAAUAAUAGGUAGCAACUUCAUAUCUCUAUCUCAUACUUUUUGUUUAAACCUGAAAAUAUAAAAGUCAGAGUACAGGGUGUCUGUUGAAA
This is a long non-coding RNA of Photinus pyralis (common eastern firefly), 541 nucleotides long. RefSeq lists it as uncharacterized. The record is from RefSeq and is a predicted model, not a curated record. The transcript is spliced from 2 exons. Lineage: Eukaryota; Metazoa; Arthropoda; Insecta; Coleoptera; Lampyridae.